GGGUACUCGAGCGGCGAACGGGUGAGUAACACGUGAGCAACCUGCCCUAGGCUUUGGGAUAACCCCGGGAAACCGGGGCUAAUACCGAAUAUGACCUGGCCUCGCAUGAGGCUUGGUGGAAAGUUUUUCGGCCUGGGAUGGGCUCGCGGCCUAUCAGCUUGUUGGUGGGGUGAUGGCCUACCAAGGCGACGACGGGUAGCCGGCCUGAGAGGGCGACCGGCCACACUGGGACUGAGACACGGCCCAGACUCCUACGGGAGGCAGCAGUGGGGAAUAUUGCACAAUGGGCGGAAGCCUGAUGCAGCGACGCCGCGUGAGGGAUGACGGCCUUCGGGUUGUAAACCUCUUUCAGCAGGGACGAAGCGUAAGUGACGGUACCUGCAGAAGAAGCGCCGGCCAACUACGUGCCAGCAGCCGCGGUAAGACGUAGGGCGCGAGCGUUGUCCGGAUUUAUUGGGCGUAAAGAGCUCGUAGGCGGCUUGUCGCGUCGACUGUGAAAACCCGCAGCUCAACUGCGGGCCUGCAGUCGAUACGGGCAGGCUAGAGUUCGGUAGGGGAGACUGGAAUUCCUGGUGUAGCGGUGAAAUGCGCAGAUAUCAGGAGGAACACCGGUGGCGAAGGCGGGUCUCUGGGCCGAUACUGACGCUGAGGAGCGAAAGCGUGGG
RNAcentral lists this ribosomal RNA (665 nucleotides) under Micromonospora sp. PHPL14. RNAcentral's name for it is "bacterial SSU rRNA". It matches the Rfam family "Bacterial small subunit ribosomal RNA", at positions 85 to 765 of the family's 1533-position model. The record is from RNAcentral. Lineage: Bacteria; Bacillati; Actinomycetota; Actinomycetes; Micromonosporales; Micromonosporaceae.